UGACUGAUGUGCAUUUGGUGGCAGGCAGAGCACUUCCUCCUUCUGAUCUUCAAGCUGAGGCUAAAGGAAUGUCAUGGUGAAGAGCAAUUGGAGGCGAACGAGCCUGAAGGUGUCUUCAUCACAGAUGCAAACCCAAAGAAAUGGUGUUGCCUGGCAAGAGAUUUGCUAUACUUCAUGAAAAAUCAGACCAAGUCUUCUUUUUUGAAGAACCACAUCAUAGAAUCAACUGGAUAAAGAAAUGGCAACCCACUCCAGUAUUCUUGCCUGGAGAAUCCCAUAAACAGAGGAGCCUGGCGGUCUACCGUCCAUGGGGUCACAAAGAGUCGGACACAGCUGAGAGAUUGAGCCCAUCAUGGAUUCAACAUCUUUUUGAGUCAGAUGAACCUCACCAUGAACAUUUUGAAAAUGAAAUGAAACCUAGUGAUGUAAACUGAUUUGCCCAAAUUCACACACAAAGUCAAUUGUCUAAUGAGAAGACAUGCUGACCCUAGAGUCUAUACCAUCUAAAAACAUUGCUUCCCAAGAGGAACUUAAGUCUUUAUUUCUAGUUUGAUCAGUGUCAGAUACUUAGAAUUAAAUAUUUCUUCUAACAAAGUAAGAUUGGUUUUAUUAACUAGCAGGAACCAGAAAAGUCGCAGGACUACAGGACUAUUGUCACCUCUCUGGGUGACUCACUUCUUCUUCCUAAUGGCCAGUCAGCAGGCCUUUUAGGUUUAAUUCAG
RNAcentral lists this long non-coding RNA (722 nucleotides) under Capra hircus (goat). RNAcentral describes it as "lncRNA (ENSCHIG00000007168.1)". Lineage: Eukaryota; Metazoa; Chordata; Mammalia; Artiodactyla; Bovidae. The record is from RNAcentral.